AGCAACCGACGACUCCGACCAAAACCCGCACCCUCCGGUGGAAUCGGUCACAAGAAACGACUAGAUCCAAUGUUCUCCGGUAACAUACGUAUUGCUCUCUCUGUUUUAAUUUUAGUUUAGUCUCUGUUUUGUGAUUGCAAAGUAAUUGAUAUUUUUUCUAGGUGAAGUAAUUAUUUCUUUAGAUUGUUUUCUGUUUGAUAGCCUUAUUUUAUUAUUAUCUCUGGGUUAGUUAUUUUGUAUAAAUUUGUUCAAAUUUUUUAGUGAUUCUUCCUUAGAAUGUUUACAUAUUGUUGAAAUUAUAUAGAUAUCUUUUGGUUCAUUUUUUUUAUUAUUAUUAUUAUAUUAUGUUUUACGUGAAAUUAUUUACCUUAUUCGCAUUAUAUUUUAUUGUUUAUCUUAAAAAAAAAUAGAUUAAUGCUUUGUUACGUUAUAAUUUUUAUGCACGGUAUGGAUUCAUCAUUAGUUUCUAUUAUUUAUUACACACUGUUUAUACGUGACUUUGCAGAAAUUGUGUUACUGUGGUAUUAUUUAAUUAAUUAUCAUUGUUUUAUUAGAUUGUUGAUCGCUUGGUGGUUCUUAUUUUCAUUAUUAUUAUUGGGAUAUGUUGUUAUAAUUUGAUGUUUGUUUAUUGCUUUGUAUUGUCCUUUAGUUAGUUGCGUAUGACUUUAUGCCAGAAAAAUAUUUCGUUGGCCAAUAAAAAAAUCUCCCUGUCGGUUUUGGAGGUCAAUCCAUUUAAAAAGAUGAAAAUUUAGUUUAUGUUUAUAUAUUUUAUUUGUUAAAAUUGGCCAAUGAAAAAAAAAAUUCGUCGGUUUUGGAGGCCUCCACAUUUUAAAAGAUGAAAAUUUAGUUUAAGUUUAUAUUUUUUGUAGUUAAAAUGGUCGAUGAAGAAAUUAACGUCGAUAUCCAAGGCCUCUCAUGUUAAUAAGACGAGUUUUUAUCUUGAAGUUAUUAUUUAAUUCAUUUAUUUUUAUUCAUAUUUAUUUAGUACUAACACUUUUACUAAAUGUCUUUACAGGUAAUUGAAGUUGCUUUCUAUUAAAGCCAUUCGAAUAAAGUUUGAAUUAUAUUAUUUAUUCAUUAUUUUGUAGAUAUUGGCAAUAGGCAAGCCUUAGGUCGAUUCUUACAUUAUUAUUUUAUUUUAUUAUUUGUGUAUAUUGCAUGUUGAUUGUACUUAUAUAUUUAUUUUUAUCUCUUCCUCAAUUUGAAAAAAAUGAAUUUAGUUAGAACCCAUAAUUGUGAAUUUUGAAGGAUGUCUAACACCUUCCUUUUGGAAUAACUUGAACUCCUUAUUUAGAAUCUAAUGAUUUCGUAGAUCAUUUAAUUAGUUUCCUAGUUUUUCUUAAAAUUAGGUGGCGACUCUUUUAAAAUUCGUUUAUUCUUUAAUUUCUUUUAAAAUUGACUUAAUUGAUUUUUUUUGAGUAACCAUGACUUUUUUUCCUAUUUGAAUAGAGUAGGGAUGUAAACAGAAUGACAAUUUCGCUGGAAAUAUAGAGGUGCUAACCAUUAUGAAUUUAUUUUUUCAAAUUGAGGAGCAUUUUCUUUUAUUGUGUUAUACCUUGUACUUUGUACAUUUUGUUGAUUAUUUGUAUAUUGUACUUAUUGUUUAUUCAUUUAAUUGUAUGUAUAUUGUCAUUUCAUGACAUAACUUUCGUCAAAUGGCAAAUAGAAUGCAUUAGGAUAAAGGCGGUUACGUGGCUUUCUACGGCUGUCCUUCAGAAAAGCACCUUCGAAUUCUUAUGAAGUGAUAAAUGAAUAGUUGGCGUGUGGUCAUCCAACGUCGUUUAUUAUAUUUCACCCCGUAGUUUGUCCAACUCGAGUAACCGGGUUUUAUCUAAAUCACUCUUAGUCAACUAGUGUAGAGCAAAGCCAAAAUCGUGUAUUUAGCGCAUUUGCUUGAGAUGACACAACACUCAAGACACAUUUGUAUAAGACAUGCAUUCAUUGUUUGUGUGUUAUGUGAUAUACCUGUUUUACGUGAAUAUGUUGUAUGAUAGUCCAUUAUUUUAAAGUUUUUAAGAGCUUUAGACAUAAAUAUCAAGUCACUUUUACCUUUUGAGUUUUUUUUGAAAG
Molecule: long non-coding RNA, 2070 nt
Filed under: Solanum tuberosum (potato)
Lineage: Eukaryota; Viridiplantae; Streptophyta; Magnoliopsida; Solanales; Solanaceae
Description: long non-coding RNA (STUB_LNC011517)
Source: RNAcentral